The submitters of this non-coding RNA (50 nucleotides) gave its source as unclassified sequences. The record is from Rfam.
CUCAAGACCGGAGCUCUCCGGAAAAUAAGAAGGUCGCCCGUGUCAGGGUA